Molecule: ribosomal RNA, 460 nt
Filed under: uncultured bacterium
Lineage: Bacteria
Description: partial 16S ribosomal RNA
Rfam family: Bacterial small subunit ribosomal RNA
Source: RNAcentral
CCUACGGGCGGCAGCAGUGAGGAAUAUUGGUCAAUGGGCGCAAGUCUGAACCAGCCAAGUAGCGUGCAGGAUGACCGCCCUACGUGUUGUAAACUUCUUUUAUCCAGGAAUAAACUGAGUCACGUGUGCCUUUUUGUAUGUACUUUAUGAAUAAGGAUCGGCUAACUCCGUGCCAGCAGCCGCGGUAAUACGGAGGAUCCGGGCGUUAUCCGGAUUUAUUGGGUGUAAAGGGAGCGUAGAUGGGUUGUUAAGUCAGUUGUGAAAGUGUGCGGCUCAACCGUAAAAUUGCAAGUGAAACUGGCAGACUUGAGUACAGUUGAGGUAGGCGGAAUUCGUGGUGUAGCGGUGAAAUGCUUAGAUAUCACGAAGAACUCCGAUUGCGAAGGCAGCCUACUAAACUGCCACUGACAUUGAUGCUCGAAAGUGUGGGUAUCAAACAGGAUUAGAUACCCGGGUAGUC